AUCUUAAAGAGGAAGAAUUAGAGAGUUGUUUAAAUGCCAUGGACGAGACAGAUUGUGUGGAUGAUGAUAUUGAUGUGCUCUCACUUCCGGUGGAAUAACCACCUUUUGUUGCUGCUGCCUGCUGUACCCCGUUGUCGCUGAACAUCGGGUUUUUGUUGCUGUUCAGUGAAAUUGCCAGUUUUAAGCUGGUUGUGCAACUUUUGGUUGCUGUAAUUAUUUAAUAGCUGGUGGCAAGUUUGGAACAUUGAUUUUUGAUUUUCUUGUUGGACUGAAAACUGUUGAUUUUGGUACAUGUGUUGGAUUAGUUGAGCUUGGUAUGGUUCUAUUUUUUGGUUGUCCAAUCUUUGGGAUUGGUUGGUUGGAUUAUGUUGAACUUGAUACCGUAGCUGGUUGGAUUCAGUUGAGCUUGAUUUGUGCUGGUUGGAUUCUGUUUAGCUUGAAUUGUGCUGGUUGGAUUCUGUUAAGUUUGAUUUGUGCUGGUUGGAUUCUGUUGAACUUGAUUUGUGCUGGUUGGAUUCUAUUGAGCUUGAUAUGUUGGUGGGUGGAUUCUGUUGAGCUUGAUAUAUUUCCUUUUUUUUGGAAUGAGGGUAAGUGUUCGAUGACGAAAAUUUUCCGAGAGCAAAAUUUUGAGCUUGUUAAGUUGCUGGUUGCUGUUGGGCUUUGUAAGUGUCCCUUUCCGAAAUAAAGUCUCAAAACUUUUUCCUAUCUUGUUGAUUAAAUUGUUUGGAACCCGAGUUGCUAUGUUGGGAACUCUCACUAGAGUACACAUAAUUUCAUUUUGGAUUACUUUAGUGAGGUGAUGCCCAAAGCAUCUUGAUGGAUUCAAAUAAUUUUAGUUGACAUUUUGGGUUAUUGUUUUGGGACUAUGUGCUCAAUGAUGAUAGUACUCUGAGAGCCCAAAUUUAAAUUUUUUUUUUAUCUUUUUCAACACAUUACAUAUUUACAUUUGGUGUGGUUAUGUUUUGGUAAGUUAUUACAUCAAAUUUUUCAUCCUUUUUUUUAUGUUACCUAUGCUAACUGUUUAUUGUAUUGUAGGGUGCAAAGUGGAGGCAGAUAUGAUUUUUAGGAUUUUUAUAUAUUGUAAAUUGAAAAAAAAAAUAUUUUUUGUUUUCAUGUUUUUUGUUUAGUUGUAAUUUGUAAUUUGUAAAAUAUGUUGUGAUAUAAAUAAAAAUUUGGAUUUGGUUUUUACA
Long non-coding RNA from Beta vulgaris subsp. vulgaris (sugar beet), 1190 nucleotides. RefSeq lists it as uncharacterized. The record is from RefSeq and is a predicted model, not a curated record. The transcript has 2 exons. NCBI's taxonomy places the organism in Eukaryota, Viridiplantae, Streptophyta, Magnoliopsida, Caryophyllales, Amaranthaceae.